UGCGAGCGUGACGGCGCGAGCAGGUGCGAAAGCAGGUCAUAGUGAUCCGGUGGUUCUGAAUGGAAGGGCCAUCGCUCAACGGAUAAAAGGUACUCCGGGGAUAACAGGCUGAUACCGCCCAAGAGUUCAUAUCGACGGCGGUGUUUGGCACCUCGAUGUCGGCUCAUCACAUCCUGGGGCUGAAGUAGGUCCCAAGGGUAUGGCUGUUCGCCAUUUAAAGUGGUACGCGAGCUGGGUUUAGAACGUCGUGAGACAGUUCGGUCCCUAUCUGCCGUGGGCGCUGGAGAACUGAGGGGGGCUGCUCCUAGUACGAGAGGACCGGAGUGGACGCAUCACUGGUGUUCGGGUUGUCAUGCCAAUGGCACUGCCCGGUAGCUAAAUGCGGAAGAGAUAAGUGCUGAAAGCAUCUAAGCACGAAACUUGCCCCGAGAUGAGUUCUCCCUGACUCCUUGAGAGUCCUGAAGGAACGUUGAAGACGACGACGUUGAUAGGCCGGGUGUGUAAGCGCAGCGAUGCGUUGAGCUAACCGGUACUAAUGAACCGUGAGGCUUAACC
Molecule: ribosomal RNA, 555 nt
Filed under: Escherichia coli
Lineage: Bacteria; Pseudomonadati; Pseudomonadota; Gammaproteobacteria; Enterobacterales; Enterobacteriaceae
Description: partial 23S ribosomal RNA
Rfam family: Bacterial large subunit ribosomal RNA
Source: RNAcentral